Molecule: long non-coding RNA, 1705 nt
Organism: Xiphophorus hellerii (green swordtail)
Lineage: Eukaryota; Metazoa; Chordata; Actinopteri; Cyprinodontiformes; Poeciliidae
Exons: 2
Source: RefSeq, a predicted model, not a curated record
UUCCAACUUUUGUCACUUCCGCCUGACAGAAAUAAAAGUCAGUCACCAAAACACAGUUUUCCAACACGUAGUGUGUAUUUAUAAUUUUUCAUUGCUGAUGUAAGAGGAUGGAAGCUGGCUGAAAGCAUGGCACAAAAAUUAAGACUUCCUGAAGACACGAGAGUGUAAACUUUCUGGUAAAUCCCAUUCUAAUGUAAAAUAUGACAGAUUACUGUAUUAAGGAAAUUUCUAGUAUACUACAGGCUAUCACACAUAACAAUUUUUGAGAAUUUGGCAACAGUUGCUCUUUGUUCCCAAACGUUAUGGGGGGAGGAGAGUAGAGAAUGGAUAUUUCAGCUGCCUGAAAUAAUCUGUUCCUCCUCCAUAACAUGGGAACAAAUUAAUUCACCAACAAGUCUUUAUCUGUGUUUAUUCCUCUUAUCAUCAACAACAAAUCAUGUAAGUUUGAAAACAUUUGAUCAUUAUUUGCCAGAGUUAUAAGGGGGAAACAUAUAUUUUAGCCACCUGAAAUAAUCCGUUCCCCCUCCAAAACACAGGAACAAAUUAAUUUACAAGUCUUUAAGUGUGUUUACUCCUUUCAUCAUCAAUAAUAAAUCCUGUAAGUUUGGUAGCAUUUGCUCUUUAUUUGACAAAGUUAUGAGGGGGGAACCAUUCUGGGGAUCAACAAUCAACACCACCACAGACGUUAGUGGUAAUAAAUGUUUUUAAACUCUAAAAACAAUCUAUAUCAUACUUAUCGCAUAGACAAAAACCACAUGAAAACUGUGGAAUGCUCACUUUCUAGGUGAUCUACCCACAAGAGAAAAAGUCUUUGUUCUUGAAUCCACUGGGGGAAUCAAAACAAGACAUCCAGAAAUGUUUGCAAAUCACAAAGUAUGGUUAAAAAUUUAAGUUUAACUCAAGUAUGAAAAUCAAAUAAAGUUGUUCUUAUUAAUAUAUCUAUAUUUACAGGGCAUUUAUGAGGAAGAAGGGGUGCAAUCUCUCAUGUUGGACAUGUGACACAGUCAAGCAUCCAAAACAACAAGAUAGUACAUCAUGUGGUGUAUUUUCACUGAAGGUGCAUACAUAUUGUCACACAGUGUAUGAUUUUAGGAUUUUGAUAUAUAUUUUGAGACAUGUACAGUGAAUUACUUUCUUUGUUACUUAAAUUUAAAGCCAUUAAAUGAAGCUGUUCAUUUCAGUUUGCAGAAAAAAUCUUAUCAAAAGAGGUUGUGGAUUUUCCUGUUUCCAGAGACUACAGCAUGAGACUUAUCCUUAACAGUGAGGACCUAAAAGACUUGUGUCACUUCUGUGGAGAGAUGGAAAGUGACACGGAUGUGAACUGGGUAGGAAAGUUUUUAGAAUUAUUCAAAGACUUAGUGUUAGUAAACUAAAUGAAGAGGACACAUUUUAUCUAAUCUUAUCUUGUGUAAACAAUGGUUUAUGAUUCUCCAGCAGUUGGAAUAUAAGGGAAUCUAAAAUGAUUGAUUGUAUAUUGUAAUUGUAAAGACAUAUUUUUCUAAAAAAAACUGAUAUUUUUGGUUUCUUUCCUAGAUCCAGUGUGACAUGUGUCUGAGGUGGUUCCAUCAUGCAUGUGUGGGAAGCCCACCAACUGGAAAAACUUAUCACUGCUUUGCGUGUUUGCCUUAGUUGCCUUAGUUUGCUGUGGUGUGCUUGUUUAUGUAUGUUGUUUAAUGGUUAAUAAAUUACAUUUUGAAAACUGUUU